RNAcentral lists this ribosomal RNA (253 nucleotides) under uncultured bacterium. RNAcentral describes it as "partial 16S ribosomal RNA". It matches the Rfam family "Bacterial small subunit ribosomal RNA", at positions 524 to 776 of the family's 1533-position model. The record is from RNAcentral.
UACGUAGGGUGCAAGCGUUAAUCGGAAUUACUGGGCGUAAAGCGUGCGCAGGCGGUUAUGCAAGGCAGAUGUGAAAUCCCCGGGCUUAACUCGGAACGGUCAAGUGAUACUGUCGGGCUAGAGUGCAGAAGGGGCAACUGGAAUUCUCGGUGUAGCGGUGAAAUGCGUAGAUAUCGAGAGGAACACCUGCGGCGAAGGCGGGUUGCUGGGCUGACACUGACGCUGAGGCGCGAAAGCCAGGGGAGCGAACGGG